AUUGAACGCUGGCGGCAGGCCUAACACAUGCAAGUCGAGCGGAUGAAGGGAGCUUGCUCCUGGAUUCAGCGGCGGACGGGUGAGUAAUGCCUAGGAAUCUGCCUGGUAGUGGGGGAUAACGUCCGGAAACGGGCGCUAAUACCGCAUACGUCCUGAGGGAGAAAGUGGGGGAUCUUCGGACCUCACGCUAUCAGAUGAGCCUAGGUCGGAUUAGCUAGUUGGUGGGGUAAAGGCCUACCAAGGCGGCGAUCCGUAACUGGUCUGAGAGGAUGAUCAGUCACACUGGAACUGAGACACGGUCCAGACUCCUACGGGAGGCAGCAGUGGGGAAUAUUGGACAAUGGGCGAAAGCCUGAUCCAGCCAUGCCGCGUGUGUGAAGAAGGUCUUGGGAUUGUAAAGCACUUUAAGUUGGGAGGAAGGGCAGUAAGUUAAUACCUUGCUGUUUUGACGUUACCAACAGAAUAAGCACCGGCUAACUUCGUG
Molecule: ribosomal RNA, 484 nt
Filed under: uncultured bacterium
Lineage: Bacteria
Description: partial 16S ribosomal RNA
Rfam family: Bacterial small subunit ribosomal RNA
Source: RNAcentral